RNAcentral lists this ribosomal RNA (543 nucleotides) under uncultured Glomeromycotina. RNAcentral's name for it is "SSU rRNA". It matches the Rfam family "Eukaryotic small subunit ribosomal RNA", at positions 552 to 1096 of the family's 1831-position model. The record is from RNAcentral. Lineage: Eukaryota; Fungi; Glomeromycota.
AGGGCAAGUCUGGUGCCAGCAGCCGCGGUAAUUCCAGCUCCAAUAGCGUAUAUUAAAGUUGUUGCAGUUAAAAAGCUCGUAGUUGAAUUUCGGGGUUAGUAGGUUGGUCAUGCCUCAGGUAUGUACUGAUCUCACUGAUUCCUCCUUCCUGAUGAACCGUAAUGCCAUUAAUUUGGUGUUGCGGGGAAACUGGACUGUUACUUCGAAAAAAUUAGAGUGUUUAAAGCAGGCUAACGCUUGAAUACAUUAGCAUGGAAUAAUGAAAUAGGACGUUCGAUCCUAUUUUGUUGGUUUCUAGGAUUGACGUAAUGAUUAAUAGGGAUAGUUGGGGGCAUUAGUAUUCAAUUGUCAGAGGUGAAAUUCUUGGAUUUAUUGAAGACUAACUACUGCGAAAGCAUUUGCCAAGGAUGUUUUCAUUAAUCAAGAACGAAAGUUAGGGGAUCGAAGACGAUCAGAUACCGUCGUAGUCUUAACCAUAAACUAUGCCGACUAGGGAUCGGAUGAUGUUAAUUUUUUAAUGACUCAUUCGGCGCCUUACGGGAA